This 501-nucleotide ribosomal RNA is filed under the name uncultured Glomeromycotina. RNAcentral describes it as "partial small subunit ribosomal RNA". It matches the Rfam family "Eukaryotic small subunit ribosomal RNA", at positions 591 to 1092 of the family's 1831-position model. Lineage: Eukaryota; Fungi; Glomeromycota. The record is from RNAcentral.
CCAAUAGCGUAUAUUAAAGUUGUUGCAGUUAAAAAGCUCGUAGUUGAAUUUCGGGAUCAAUAUAACGGUCAUGCCGUUGGUAUGCACUGUUAUAAUUGAUUUCUCACCUUCUAAAGAACCGUAAUGCCAUUAAUUUUGUGUCACGGGGAAUUAGGACUGUUACCUUGAAAAAAUUAGAGUGUUUAAAGCAGGCUCACGCUUGAAUACAUUAGCAUGGAAUAAUGAAAUAGGACAUCCGAUUCUAUUUUGUUGGUUUCUAGGAUCGAUGUAAUGAUUAAUAGGGAUAGUUGGGGGCAUUAGUAUUCAAUUGUCAGAGGUGAAAUUCUUGGAUUUAUUGAAGACUAACUACUGCGAAAGCAUUUGCCAAGGAUGUUUUCAUUAAUCAAGAACGAAAGUUAGGGGAUCGAAGACGAUCAGAUACCGUCGUAGUCUUAACCAUAAACUAUGCCGACUAGGGAUCGGAUGAUGUUAAUUUUUUAAUGACUCAUUCGGCGCCUUACG